AGAGUUUGAUCAUGGCUCAGAUUGAACGCUGGCGGCAGGCCUAACACAUGCAAGUCGAACGGUAACAUUUCUAGCUUGCUAGAAGAUGACGAGUGGCGGACGGGUGAGUAAUGCUUGGGAACUUGCCUUUGCGAGGGGGAUAACAGUUGGAAACGACUGCUAAUACCGCAUAAUGUCUUCGGACCAAACGGGGCUUCGGCUCCGGCGCAAAGAGAGGCCCAAGUGAGAUUAGCUAGUUGGUAAGGUAACGGCUUACCAAGGCGACGAUCUCUAGCUGUUCUGAGAGGAAGAUCAGCCACACUGGGACUGAGACACGGCCCAGACUCCUACGGGAGGCAGCAGUGGGGAAUAUUGCACAAUGGGGGAAACCCUGAUGCAGCCAUGCCGCGUGUGUGAAGAAGGCCUUCGGGUUGUAAAGCACUUUCAGUUGUGAGGAAAAGUUAGUAGUUAAUACCUGCUAGCCGUGACGUUAACAACAGAAGAAGCACCGGCUAACUCCGUGCCAGCAGCCGCGGUAAUACGGAGGGUGCGAGCGUUAAUCGGAAUUACUGGGCGUAAAGCGCACGCAGGCGGUUUGUUAAGCUAGAUGUGAAAGCCCCGGGCUCAACCUGGGAUGGUCAUUUAGAACUGGCAGACUAGAGUCUUGGAGAGGGGAGUGGAAUUCCAGGUGUAGCGGUGAAAUGCGUAGAUAUCUGGAGGAACAUCAGUGGCGAAGGCGACUCCCUGGCCAAAGACUGACGCUCAUGUGCGAAAGUGUGGG
RNAcentral lists this ribosomal RNA (760 nucleotides) under uncultured bacterium. Its description in RNAcentral is "bacterial SSU rRNA". It matches the Rfam family "Bacterial small subunit ribosomal RNA", at positions 8 to 765 of the family's 1533-position model. The record is from RNAcentral.